CCUACGGGGGGCAGCAGUGGGGGAUAUUGCACAAUGGGGGGAACCCUGAUGCAGCGACGCCGCGUGGGUGAAGAAGCGCCUCGGCGCGUAAAGCCCUGUCAGCAGGGAAGAAAAUGACGGUACCUGAAGAAGAAGCCCCGGCUAACUACGUGCCAGCAGCCGCGGUAAUACGUAGGGGGCAAGCGUUAUCCGGAUUUACGGGGGGUAAAGGGGGCGCAGACGGCGAUGCAAGCCAGGAGUGAAAGCCCGGGGGCCAACCCCGGGACUGCCCUUGGAACUGCGUGGCUGGAGUGCAGGAGGGGCAGGCGGAAUGCCUGGUGUAGCGGUGAAAUGCGUAGAUAUCAGGAGGAACACCGGUGGCGAAGGCGGCCUGCUGGACUGCAACUGACGUUGAGGCCCGAAAGCGUGGGGAGCAAACAGGAUUAGAUACCCCUGUAGUC
Molecule: ribosomal RNA, 440 nt
Filed under: uncultured bacterium
Lineage: Bacteria
Description: partial 16S ribosomal RNA
Rfam family: Bacterial small subunit ribosomal RNA
Source: RNAcentral